RNA transcript from Papaver somniferum (opium poppy), 951 nucleotides. It is a transcript of the gene named PHD finger protein ALFIN-LIKE 2-like, with no coding region annotated. The record is from RefSeq and is a predicted model, not a curated record. The transcript is spliced from 5 exons. NCBI's taxonomy places the organism in Eukaryota, Viridiplantae, Streptophyta, Magnoliopsida, Ranunculales, Papaveraceae.
UCAGUUAUCCUUCAAACGAGAAGUUUUCUUUUUCCUCUCUAGAAAAUCGAAUCCAUUACCCCCAAAUUUAACCCUCGACAGCCAAAAUUUCUUUUUAGUUUUUUUUUUUCCUGAGAAUCUAGUAGAGAACGUUAGGCAUCAUAGAAGAAUUCUAGGGCAAGGAGUAAUUUUUACUGGUCUCGAUCUCCUUAUAUGUGUAAGCUUGACUUCGUUUUGUGUUUUUCUUUUCUUUCAGAUGUCGAUGAGUUCUACGCCCUUUGUGAUCCAGAAAAGGAGAAUCUAUGUUUAUAUGGACAUGCAAAUGAGAGUUGGGAAGUUACUCUACCAGCUGAAGAAGUACCACCGGAGCUACCUGAAUCAGCUUUGGGGAUUAAUUUUGCUAGAGAUGGAAUGAACCGUAGGGAUUGGCUUUCCCUAGUUGCUGUUCACAGUGAUUCUUGGCUGCUUUCUGUUGCUUUCUAUCUUGGAGCUCGUUUUAACCGUAAUGAAAGUUAGCAACUGUACGGGGACACCCUUAUAAAGGUGGUGGAGUGGAGGCCUUCUAUAUAGUUAGCAACUGUAUGGAGACACCCUUAUAAAGAUGGUGAGAGAAGGUCUGCCUGAAUCAAAUGGUUACAUUUAUGUUGAGGCAAAUGGUGGCUUAAAUCAGCAAACAACAUCGGAAUUUAAAUCCCAUGUAAGAGCCACAAGCUUACGACAAUUCUGGUUAUGAAGAGUCUUCAAAUCAGAAUGUGGAUUUGCUGGACAGGAAUGGAAAAAUGGUGCAGAAUGGCAUAAGAAGUGUUUGCAAUCUAUAAAUUAAACUUUGUUUACCUUGUGACAGAUUAGUACCAUUAGGUACGGUUUAGCGUUUUAAUUUAUAAUUAUUUAUUGUUCAGUGUGUUAAGAGUGUGCCGAGAAUAUUAAUUUAUGUUGAAACAGAUUUCUUUUAUUAAUUUAAUUUUUAUUAAA